Non-coding RNA from Megalops atlanticus (tarpon), 72 nucleotides. The record is from the annotation of a GenBank genome assembly. Lineage: Eukaryota; Metazoa; Chordata; Actinopteri; Elopiformes; Megalopidae.
GGCAAUGUAGUAUAGUGGUAAGACGUUGGGCUCAUAAUCGAACGGUUGCUGGUUCGAUUCCCUGCAGGGGCA